Molecule: non-coding RNA, 178 nt
Filed under: Lipomyces starkeyi NRRL Y-11557
Lineage: Eukaryota; Fungi; Ascomycota; Lipomycetes; Lipomycetales; Lipomycetaceae
Source: Rfam by way of RNAcentral
CAUAUUAAAGUAUGGUGUUUAAUUAACUUUUUUUACUUGGUACAGCACUUAAUCUGGACUGGGGAUCAUUAUGAUUUUACUUUUUAGAUUUAAACUCGGCAUAGGUAACAAAAAAAAUUAAAUACUCAGAAUGUCAGACAUUCUGCGAUAACGUGGUUUGUCAAAAGGGAAACAGCCC